AUUGAACGCUGGCGGCAGGCCUAACACAUGCAAGUCGAACGAGUGGCGGACGGGUGAGUAAUGUCCGGGAAACUGCCCGAUGGAGGGGGAUAACUACUGGAAACGGUAGCUAAUACCGCAUACCAUCGGAUGUCCCCCGAUGGGGUUAGCUAGUAGGUGGGGUAAUGGCUCACCUAGGCGAUGAUCCCUAGCUGGUCUGAGAGGAGGACCAGCCACCCUGGAACUGAGACACGGUCCAGACGCCUACGGGAGGCAGCAGAGGGGAAUAUUGCGCAAUGGGCGCAAGCCUGAUGCAGCCAGGGCGAGUGUAUGAAGAAGGCGUUCGGGUUGUAAAGUACGUUCAGCGAGGGGGCGUUACUCGCAGAAGAAGCACCGGCUAACUCCGUGCCAGCAGCCGCGGUAAUAC
This 406-nucleotide ribosomal RNA is filed under the name uncultured bacterium. RNAcentral's name for it is "partial 16S ribosomal RNA". It matches the Rfam family "Bacterial small subunit ribosomal RNA", at positions 29 to 526 of the family's 1533-position model. The record is from RNAcentral.